Molecule: ribosomal RNA, 792 nt
Filed under: uncultured Actinobacillus sp.
Lineage: Bacteria; Pseudomonadati; Pseudomonadota; Gammaproteobacteria; Pasteurellales; Pasteurellaceae
Description: bacterial SSU rRNA
Rfam family: Bacterial small subunit ribosomal RNA
Source: RNAcentral
CGGACGGGUGAGUAAUGCUUGGGAAUCUGGCUCAUGGAGGGGGAUAACUACGGGAAACUGUAGCUAAUACCGCGUAGUAUCGGAAGAUGAAAGUGUGGGACCGCAAGGCCACAUGCCAUGAGAUGAGCCCAAGUGGGAUUAGGUAGUUGGUUAGGUAAAGGCUGACCAAGCCGACGAUCUCUAGCUGGUCUGAGAGGAUGACCAGCCACACUGGAACUGAGACACGGUCCAGACUCCUACGGGAGGCAGCAGUGGGGAAUAUUGCACAAUGGGGGAAACCCUGAUGCAGCCAUGCCGCGUGAAUGAAGAAGGCCUUCGGGUUGUAAAGUUCUUUCGGUGAUGAGGAAGGUGUUUGUUUUAAUAGGACAAGCAAUUGACGUUAGUCACAGAAGAAGCACCGGCUAACUCCGUGCCAGCAGCCGCGGUAAUACGGAGGGUGCGAGCGUUAAUCGGAAUAACUGGGCGUAAAGGGCACGCAGGCGGUGACUUAAGUGAGAUGUGAAAGCCCCGAGCUUAACUUGGGAAUUGCAUUUCAUACUGGGUCGCUAGAGUACUUUAGGGAGGGGUAGAAUUCCACGUGUAGCGGUGAAAUGCGUAGAGAUGUGGAGGAAUACCGAAGGCGAAGGCAGCCCCUUGGGAAUGUACUGACGCUCAUGUGCGAAAGCGUGGGGAGCAAACAGGAUUAGAUACCCUGGUAGUCCACGCUGUAAACGCUGUCGAUUUGGGGAUUGGGCUUAGAGCUUGGUGCCCGUAGCUAACGUGAUAAAUCGACCGCCUGGGGAGUACGGCCGC